CCUUCGAUAGCUCAGCUGGUAGAGCGGAGGACUGUAGUGUUUCCCUACCUGGUUAUCCUUAGGUCGCUGGUUCGAUUCCGGCUCGAAGGA
This 90-nucleotide transfer RNA is filed under the name Camelus bactrianus (Bactrian camel). It matches the Rfam family "tRNA". Rfam says of the family: Transfer RNA (tRNA) molecules are approximately 80 nucleotides in length. Their secondary structure includes four short double-helical elements and three loops (D, anti-codon, and T loops). The record is from Rfam by way of RNAcentral. RNAcentral also lists the same sequence under 2 other names. Lineage: Eukaryota; Metazoa; Chordata; Mammalia; Artiodactyla; Camelidae.